UUAGGCUUAACCUAAAAGGGUUUACCUUGAUGGGGUAAACAAGUAAAAGCCUAAG
This 55-nucleotide transfer RNA is filed under the name Aleuroglyphus ovatus (brown legged grain mite). RNAcentral's name for it is "tRNA-Ile". Lineage: Eukaryota; Metazoa; Arthropoda; Arachnida; Sarcoptiformes; Acaridae. The record is from RNAcentral.